GUUGGCCAUGAUGAACCUUUGUGAUGGCGGGAAAAGGGAUUGACCACUUUCUGCCCCUAUAGUUCUGGUGACAAAAAUGUGAUAGCUGAGACACCUGACUCACUCUGGAGCCUGCAAAUGAGGUCCUGGGAUGACUAACAACAAGUCAGCGGGAAAAAAAAAGGGUAAGAAUUUUUACCAAGGUCAGUUCUAGGAGACCUUUAGCUGUAAUGCCUGGUUGAGAAUGGAAGA
Molecule: long non-coding RNA, 231 nt
Organism: Sapajus apella (tufted capuchin)
Lineage: Eukaryota; Metazoa; Chordata; Mammalia; Primates; Cebidae
Exons: 2
Source: RefSeq, a predicted model, not a curated record